CUUGGGUGACGAGUGGCGGACGGGUGAGUAAUGUCUGGGAAACUGCCCGAUGGAGGGGGAUAACUACUGGAAACGGUAGCUAAUACCGCAUAACGUCGCAAGACCAAAGAGGGGGACCUUCGGGCCUCUUGCCAUCGGAUGUGCCCAGAUGGGAUUAGCUAGUAGGUGGGGUAACGGCUCACCUAGGCGACGAUCCCUAGCUGGUCUGAGAGGAUGACCAGCCACACUGGAACUGAGACACGGUCCAGACUCCUACGGGAGGCAGCAGUGGGGAAUAUUGCACAAUGGGCGCAAGCCUGAUGCAGCCAUGCCGCGUGUAUGAAGAAGGCCUUCGGGUUGUAAAGUACUUUCAGCGAGGAGGAAGGCGUUGUGGUUAAUAACCGCAGCAAUUGACGUUACUCGCAGAAGAAGCACCGGCUAACUCCGUGCCAGCAGCCGCGGUAAU
This 445-nucleotide ribosomal RNA is filed under the name Citrobacter freundii. RNAcentral's name for it is "bacterial SSU rRNA". It matches the Rfam family "Bacterial small subunit ribosomal RNA", at positions 83 to 524 of the family's 1533-position model. Lineage: Bacteria; Pseudomonadati; Pseudomonadota; Gammaproteobacteria; Enterobacterales; Enterobacteriaceae. The record is from RNAcentral.